GAUGAACGCUGGCGGCGUGCCUAAUACAUGCAAGUCGAGCGAACAGACGAGGAGCUUGCUCCUUUGACGUUAGCGGCGGACGGGUCAGUAACACGUGGGUAACCUCCCUAUAAGACUGGGAUAAAUUCGGGAAACCGGAGCUAAUAUCGGAUCAUAUUUCGAACCGCAUGGUUCGAUAGUGAAAGAUGGCUUUGCUAUCACUUAUAGAUGGACCUGCGCCGUAUUAGCUAGUUGGAACGGUAACGGCUUACCAAGCCAACGAUACGUAGCCGACCUGAGAGGGUGAUCGGCCACACUGGAACGGAGACACGGUCCAGACUCCUACGGGAGGCAGCAGUAGGGAAUCUUCCGCAAUGGGCGAAAGCCUGACGGAGCAACGCCGCGUGAGUGAUGAAGGUCUUCGGAUCGUAAAACUCUGUUAUUAGGGAAGAACAAACGUGUAAGUAACUGUGCACGUCUUGACGGUACCUAAUCAGAAAGCCACGGCUAACUACGUG
Molecule: ribosomal RNA, 497 nt
Filed under: uncultured bacterium
Lineage: Bacteria
Description: partial 16S ribosomal RNA
Rfam family: Bacterial small subunit ribosomal RNA
Source: RNAcentral